GAUGAACGCUGGCGGCGUGCCUUAUACAUGCCAGUCGAGUGGGUUUAGACCCACGGCCAACGGGUGAGUAACCCGUAGGUACUUUCCUUGUCACAGGAAUAACCCUCCUAAAGGAGGGCUAAUACCUGCUGUGAUCGCAAGAUUAAAGGGUAUCCGCAAGGAUUACCGUACAAGAAGAGGCCUGCGGCCUAUCAGCUAGUUGGCGGGUUCAAUGCCCACCAAGGCUAUGACGGGUAGCUGGUCUUAUGAGGAUGAUCAGUCACAUGGACACUGAGACACGGGCCCAACACCUACGGGAGGCAGCAGUAGGGAAUUUUGCGCAAUGGGCGAAAGCCUGACGCAGCGACGCCGCGUGCGGGAUGAAGGCCUUCGGGUCGUAAAACGCUUUUAUAAGGGACGAAUUUUGACGGUACCUUAUGAAUAAGAGGUUGCUAACUCUGUG
This 442-nucleotide ribosomal RNA is filed under the name uncultured bacterium. RNAcentral describes it as "partial 16S ribosomal RNA". It matches the Rfam family "Bacterial small subunit ribosomal RNA", at positions 28 to 507 of the family's 1533-position model. The record is from RNAcentral.